AAAUUGGUCUUCUUGGGGGUUGGCGAGGGGAAGGGGAAUUCCCCGUUUUUGGGGUGGAAUGCGGGGGGAGGGGGGGGAACGCCAAAGGGGAGGGGGGUGCCUGUUCUGGAAUUGACAGUGUGGCGCGACGGCGUGGGGAGCAAACAGGACUAGAUGCCUCGGUAGUCCACGCCGUAAACGAUGAGUGCUCGGUGGUGGAGGAGGAUAUCAGUGCCGCAGUUAACGCGAUAAGUAGUCCGGUGGGGGAGUGUGCGGGCAAGCGUGAGACUCCAAGGAACAGACGGGGACCCGCACCAGCGGUGGAGUAUGUGGUUUAAUUGGAUGCAACGCGAGAGAACCGUACUGGGUGUUGGCAGUGAGUUGAAAAGCAAAGAGAUAGGUAAUAGUUAUAGAUAUACAGGUGGUGCAUGGUCGUCGUCAGCUUGUGUCGUGAGAGGUGGGGGGAAGUCCGGCGGCGAGCGCAACCCCUCUCGUUAGUGACCAUCACUCAGUUGGGGCCUGUAAAGAGACGGGCGGGGAUAAACCGGAGGAAGGUGGGGGUGAGGUGGAAUCAUCCUGCCCCGGGCGAUCAGGGCUGCACAGGUAGCACAAGGGCAUAGACAAAGGGCAGCUGCACACCGAUGCGAUGCGAAUAUCAUAAAGUAUGUCUCAGUUCGGAUAGGAGUUUGCAACUCGACUCCAAGAAGCAGGAAUCGGUAGUAAUCGUGGAUCAGAAUGCCACGGUGAAUACGUUCUCGGGUCUUGUACUCACCGCCCGUCAA
This 761-nucleotide ribosomal RNA is filed under the name uncultured bacterium. Its description in RNAcentral is "bacterial SSU rRNA". It matches the Rfam family "Bacterial small subunit ribosomal RNA", at positions 630 to 1400 of the family's 1533-position model. The record is from RNAcentral.